This is a long non-coding RNA of Apodemus sylvaticus (European woodmouse), 2409 nucleotides long. RefSeq lists it as uncharacterized. The transcript has 3 exons. NCBI's taxonomy places the organism in Eukaryota, Metazoa, Chordata, Mammalia, Rodentia, Muridae. The record is from RefSeq and is a predicted model, not a curated record.
GCAUCUUCCUCUAUUGCUUUCUGCCUUGUUCCCUUGAGAGAGUGUCUUUACUGAGCCCAGAGCCUGUAUUAUGUUGGAGGCUGGUGGCUGGAUGAUUCUCCCCAUCUCUGCCCUGCACAUAGUGCUGGAGUCACAGGAGACCAGGAAGAAGCCUUGGAAAGAUGGUUAUUCAACUGCUAACUGGCCUUUCAUGCCUGGAGGCAAAAAUCGGAGACCUAUGGCAUUCCUCAAACUGGUUACCCUCCCUCCCUAGGACACUCCCAUCGCUCCAUCCACUCUGAAGAAAGCAGGAGAGUGGCAGUGGGACACUGUCCUUGAACAGACAGCACAGCAGAGGCCUGUGAGGUGGCUCCGUGGGUAAGAGGCCAAGCAAGCAACGACACCUGUGUUCAGUCCCUGGAACCCACCCAGCGGACAGAGAGAAGGACUCCUGCAAGUCUUAUGACCUCCAAGUGCAUGUGUGCCGUGGCCGUGGCAUGCACUUGCCCCUCCUCCAAAUAAAGAAAACUUAAUGAAAAAAAAUUAAAAGUAGAAAACAACACCAGUAGCUCGAGGAGUCAACUGGUCAGUCAGAGUAUCACAUUUGAUGAUCUGAUGAUGGUUUUAUUUUACAUAUAUGCAAGUGUUUGCAUGUAUGUGGGUGCACAUGUACGAAUACAUGUGUCAAGGCCAAAGGACAACUUUGGGGGUCAUUUCUCAGGAGCCAUCAACCUUAUUUUCUGAGACAGGGCCUCUCACUGGAAUCUGACUGGCCAGCAACCUCCCAAGGAUGUUCCUGUCUCUGCCUCCCCAGCCCUGGGGUUACACCGGUGGACCACUGGGUUCAGCUUUGCUCACUGGGGUGCUGAUGCUAGAAUGCUGGUCCUCAUUAUGAGUGGCAGACACUUUCAUGACUGAGUCACUGCGCAUGUGUCAACACAUCCCUUAGGAGGUGUUGACACACUGGGGCAGUGUGGAUACCUCCUCUGGGGAAGGCAAGGAUGGUGUGUACCUCUAAGAUUGUUGAACUACUCUAGAAAAAGGAAGAAGGCAGUGACCGGCCCAGAACAGAGGACACAAUUCUGAAUCUCAAUGGAAAUCACCGAGGCCUGCUGCAGAGGCAGAUAGCUGGAGAUGUGUUGUUGGUGUUACACAGAGGCUGUUGGCAGACACAGAGCGCUCAGAGCUCCAAAAACCUUAGAAGGGAGAACGGUGAAUAUGCUCACUGCUCAUGGGCACUGAGAUGCCUUCUACCACUAACUCAGCCAGGAGGUAAGCAAGAAGCAAGGGGCCAAGGACUACCUUGUCAGUCCUGAAGCGAGGGUGCUUUCUGGUCCUCAGUUUACCCGACAAAGGAGGGGCAUGCUGGUCCUUUCCUAAAAAGAUGCUACUAGAGGAACUAUUGCUCUUGUUUAUUUGUCUGGAUUGGAUGGCUAGACGGUUGGUUUGGUUCAGGUUUGAGUUUUUGUUGUUUGUUUUGCAUUCGAGAUAAGAUCUCUGUAUUUAGCCCAGGUUGGCCUGAAUUCCUUGGGAGCCUUUUGCCGAUGCUUCCCAAGUGCUGAGACUCCAGGUGUGCACCACCAAAGCUCAGCUGCAUGGAGAAGUUUAGAACUCUCUACAGUGUAUAAUUAGUCAUAGCUAAAAAUGAAGGGUAGCAUUAUCACCUCUGCUGGGAAGAAAGGAGCCUGAGGCACAUGGGAGAGAGGCAAGAACUGAAGCAAUCUGAGAACGCAGUUCCCCCACCCCCACCCCAGUAGUCACUCCCCCGAAGAGGUGUAUGGCUGAGCAGAAAGCCUACGUACAAGGAAAUGUGGGACUGAGCUAGGAAACUGAGAUUAAGGGGUAGAAUGGAUUGCAACUCCCAAUGGGAAAAGGAACUAGAGGGUGUUACAGAUUUCCCCCCUAAAGCUCCCUGGAAGUGCUAAACCCUAAAUCUCAGAGUGUGGCCGUAUCUGGUAGCAGGGUGACUGCAGACAUCAUUAAGAGGAGCCAGGCCUGGAGCAGGACGGGCCCUAGAUCCGAUAUGACCAGUGCAAGACACAGAAAGACUGCGGAAGACACUCACAGAGACUGAGCAAUCCAGCUGCAGAGCCCAGGAGUGCCUGGGGCCACAAGGCGAUGGGAGAGACAAGAAGGGUCUUGCCCCCAGAAGCUUCUCAGGGCCUGUUGUCCUGAAAACACUCUGCUAUCAGACUCCGGCCUCCAGAGCGGAGAGAAGGAACUCCGUUCAUCUGGCUCCACACAGUUCCAACUGUCGGUGUGUCAAUGUCCCGGAAAUAAACACAGGAUUUAGCACCCAUGUUCCUGGAGCCUCUUCCAUGGGGAAAUGAGGGCUGAAAAGUAAACCAAGCUCCAUUCAGAGCACAUCUUAACCAAAACAAAAACAAAAAACAAAAACAACAACAACAACAACAACAACAAAGCCGGGCA